RNAcentral lists this transfer RNA (49 nucleotides) under Actinidia chinensis (golden kiwifruit). RNAcentral describes it as "partial tRNA-Leu". The record is from RNAcentral. RNAcentral also lists the same sequence under 592 other names. Lineage: Eukaryota; Viridiplantae; Streptophyta; Magnoliopsida; Ericales; Actinidiaceae.
AAAUCCGUCGACUUUAGAAAUCGUGAGGGUUCAAGUCCCUCUAUCCCCA